AGUUUAAUUAGACGUAAACACGUUAAAUUGUAAGUUUAAAAAAUCUAGGGUUAAGCUU
RNAcentral lists this transfer RNA (58 nucleotides) under Hyalella tiwanaku. RNAcentral describes it as "tRNA-Tyr". The record is from RNAcentral. Lineage: Eukaryota; Metazoa; Arthropoda; Malacostraca; Amphipoda; Hyalellidae.